GUAUUGUAUGAUAAGCAAGGUCAGCACUUUCCUUAACAAGGACAGAAGUGUUAGAAGUGUUUCUAGUGACCCAUAAAACACAUAAGGCUAAAGGACUGUUAACAACUUUGUGGAAUCUAACCACGAUUUUUA
This is a small nuclear RNA of Myotis lucifugus (little brown bat), 132 nucleotides long. Lineage: Eukaryota; Metazoa; Chordata; Mammalia; Chiroptera; Vespertilionidae. The record is from Ensembl.